AUUGAACGCUGGCGGCAGGCCUAACACAUGCAAGUCGAGCGGAUGAAGGGAGCUUGCUCCUGGAUUCAGCGGCGGACGGGUGAGUAAUGCCUAGGAAUCUGCCUGGUAGUGGGGGAUAACGUCCGGAAACGGGCGCUAAUACCGCAUACGUCCUGAGGGAGAAAGUGGGGGAUCUUCGGACCUCACGCUAUCAGAUGAGCCUAGGUCGGAUUAGCUAGUUGGUGGGGUAAAGGCCUACCAAGGCGACGAUCCGUAACUGGUCUGAGAGGAUGAUCAGUCACACUGGAACUGAGACACGGUCCAGACUCCGACGGGGGGCAGCAGUGGGGAAUAUUGGACAAUGGGCGGAAGCUUGAUCCAGCCAUGCCGCGUGGGUGAAGAAGGUCUUCGGAUUGUAAAGCACUUUAAGUUGGGAGGAAGGGCAGUAAGUUAAGACCUUGCUGUUUUGACGUUACCAACAGAAUAAGCACCGGCUAACUUCGU
Molecule: ribosomal RNA, 483 nt
Filed under: uncultured bacterium
Lineage: Bacteria
Description: partial 16S ribosomal RNA
Rfam family: Bacterial small subunit ribosomal RNA
Source: RNAcentral